UUGAAUAGAGUGGAUGAGCCCACUGAUAUUGGUAAUCACUUAAUAAGCAAUGGUCAUAGGUUGGAUGUGCAGCUUCAGCAAAUCAAAUCAUCUUCAGGUGGUAUUCUUAAUGGAGAGCUAAGUGUGCGCAGAGACUUUGAUUUGAAUGACGGGCCUCUUGUUGAUGAGAUGAGUGUGGAACCAUCAUCAUUUGGCCAGCACAACAAGAACAGCGCACCAUCCCAACCAUCUGUAUCUGGCCUUCGGAUGAAUAAUACAGAAAUGGGCAACUUUUCAUGGUUUUCACAGGGUAAUCCAUAUUCAGCUGUCACGAUCCAGUCCAUCUUGCCUGAUAGAGGAGAGCAGCCUUUUCCAAUGGUGACACCUGGUGGGCCGCAAAGGAUGUUGGCACCCUUAACUGGCAGCACUCCAUUGAGUCCUGAUGUCUAUAGGGGGUCAGUCUUGUCUUCAUCUCCAGCUGUACCCUUUCCAUCUACACCUUUUCAGUGUCCUCCUGUCUUUCCCUUUGGAACCAACUUUCCUCCACCCACGGCAACAUUUUCAGGUGGCUCUACAACUUAUGUGGAUUCAUCAUCUGGUGGAAGGCUUUGCUUUCCUGCAAUGCAUUCUCGAGUAUUAGCACCUUCCAGUGCAGUUCCAUCUCAUUAUCCGAGGCCUUUUGUUGUUAGCCUCCCAGAUAAUAACAAUAAUGGUAACACCGAGAGCAGCAGGAAAUGGGGAAGGC
This 724-nucleotide unclassified non-coding RNA is filed under the name Hevea brasiliensis (rubber tree). The record is from RNAcentral. Lineage: Eukaryota; Viridiplantae; Streptophyta; Magnoliopsida; Malpighiales; Euphorbiaceae.